Molecule: ribosomal RNA, 497 nt
Filed under: uncultured bacterium
Lineage: Bacteria
Description: partial 16S ribosomal RNA
Rfam family: Bacterial small subunit ribosomal RNA
Source: RNAcentral
GACGAACGCUGGCGGCGUGCCUAAUACAUGCAAGUUGAGCGCUGAAGGUUGGUACUUGUACCAACUGGAUGAGCAGCGAACGGGUGAGUAACGCGUGGGGAAUCUGCCUUUGAGCGGGGGACAACAUUGGGAAACGAAUGCUAAUACCGCAUAAAAACUUUAAACACAAGUUUUAAGUUUGAAAGAUGCAGUUGCAUCACUCAAAGAUGAUCCCGCGUUGUAUUAGCUAGUUGGUGAGGUAAAGGCUCACCAAGGCGAUGAUACAUAGCCGACCUGAGAGGGUGAUCGGCCACAUUGGGACUGAGACACGGCCCAAACUCCUACGGGAGGCAGCAGUAGGGAAUCUUCGGCAAUGGACGAAAGUCUGACCGAGCAACGCCGCGUGAGUGAAGAAGGUUUUCGGAUCGUAAAACUCUGUUGGUAGAGAAGAACGUUGGUGAGAGUGGAAAGCUCAUCAAGUGACGGUAACUACCCAGAAAGGGACGGCUAACUACGUG